RNAcentral lists this ribosomal RNA (466 nucleotides) under uncultured bacterium. RNAcentral's name for it is "bacterial SSU rRNA". It matches the Rfam family "Bacterial small subunit ribosomal RNA", at positions 338 to 795 of the family's 1533-position model. The record is from RNAcentral.
CCUACGGGUCGCACCAGUGGGGAAUAUUGGACAAUGGGCGCAAGCCUGAUCCAGCCAUGCCGCGUGUGUGAAGAAGGCCUUUUGGUUGUAAAGCACUUUAAGCGAGGAGGAGGCUACUUGGAUUAAUACUCUAGGAUAGUGGACGUUACUCGCAGAAUAAGCACCGGCUAACUCUGUGCCAGCAGCCGCGGUAAUACAGAGGGUGCGAGCGUUAAUCGGAUUUACUGGGCGUAAAGCGUGCGUAGGCGGCUUUUUAAGUCGGAUGUGAAAUCCCUGAGCUUAACUUAGGAAUUGCAUUCGAUACUGGGAAGCUAGAGUAUGGGAGAGGAUGGUAGAAUUCCAGGUGUAGCGGUGAAAUGCGUAGAGAUCUGGAGGAAUACCGAUGGCGAAGGCAGCCAUCUGGCCUAAUACUGACGCUGAGGUACGAAAGCAUGGGGAGCAAACAGGAUUAGAUACCCUAGUAGUC